Molecule: long non-coding RNA, 398 nt
Filed under: Homo sapiens (human)
Lineage: Eukaryota; Metazoa; Chordata; Mammalia; Primates; Hominidae
Description: non-protein coding lnc-RAB11FIP4-2:2
Source: RNAcentral
UCCAGGUCUUACCUUGGCCUUUCCUUCCUGGCUCAAAACCUGUGGGUUCACCUCACAGGUGAGCAACCUCCAGCUUGACCUCAAGUCCUUCUUUUACAAUACGUUCUCAAGGAGACAGAAGCCAAGAGUCUGGGCCCUGCCUCUUCCUUAGCUCCGACCCCAGGCUCACAAAGGAAUUGGAGCGGCUUCAAGCAACAGUGCUCAUGUCUCACUCCUGCUGUCUGCACACGGCACAGCAGCUGGAGGCUCUGCUCACAUCUUCCUCGUUCUGGGACCUAGGCUGAGGAAACAGCCCUCACCUGGAGCAUGGCUGGUCCCUCUGGCAGAAGGAAAGAGAGUACGGUGAGCCACAUGUUGGCUCAGAAAACAUCACCCAGGAGUAACAAGGCAAGUCUCAU